Molecule: ribosomal RNA, 425 nt
Filed under: uncultured bacterium
Lineage: Bacteria
Description: partial 16S ribosomal RNA
Rfam family: Bacterial small subunit ribosomal RNA
Source: RNAcentral
GUGGGGAAUAUUGGACAAUGGGCGAAAGCCUGAUCCAGCCAUGCCGCGUGAGUGAUGAAGGCCCUAGGGUUGUAAAGCUCUUUCACCGGGGAAGAUAAUGACGGUACCCGGAGAAGAAGCCCCGGCUAACUUCGUGCCAGCAGCCGCGGUAAUACGAAGGGGGCUAGCGUUGUUCGGAAUUACUGGGCGUAAAGCGCACGUAGGCGGAUCGGUCAGUUAGGGGUGAAAUCCCAGGGCUCAACCCUGGAACUGCCUUUAAUACUGCCGGUCUAGAGUUCGAGAGAGGUGAGUGGAAUUCCGAGUGUAGAGGUGAAAUUCGUAGAUAUUCGGAGGAACACCAGUGGCGAAGGCGGCUCACUGGCUCGAUACUGACGCUGAGGUGCGAAAGCGUGGGGAGCAAACAGGAUUAGAAACCCUUGUAGUCC